UCUGAUAUAAACUAGGUAUACACCGUGGCAUCACAAGGGCCACCCAUACAGGGGCCCUGACAAAUGGCUACCACAUGCAAGGAAGGCAGCAGGCGCGCAAAUGACCCACUCUCGACGGAGGGAGGUAGUGACGACAAAUAACAAUACAGGAAUCUUUAGAGUAAUAAGUCCACUUGAAAUCCUUUAACUCUGAUCAAUUGGAGGGCAAAUCUGGUGCAGAGCAACUGACCUGUGCGUGCUGCAGCUGAAACUCCACU
Pelobates cultripes (western spadefoot toad) is the source of this 257-nucleotide non-coding RNA. Lineage: Eukaryota; Metazoa; Chordata; Amphibia; Anura; Pelobatidae. The record is from the annotation of a GenBank genome assembly.